UACGGAGGGUGCAAGCGUUAUCCGGAUUUACUGGGUUUAAAGGGUGCGUAGGUGGGUCUGUAAGUCAGUGGUGAAAUCUUCGAGCUUAACUCGGAAACUGCCAUUGAUACUAUAGGUCUUGAAUUAUCUGGAGGUAAGCGGAAUAUGUCAUGUAGCGGUGAAAUGCUUAGAUAUGACAUAGAACACCAAUUGCGAAGGCAGCUUACUACGGAUCGAUUGACACUGAGGCACGAAAGCGUGGGGAUCAAACAGG
Molecule: ribosomal RNA, 253 nt
Filed under: uncultured bacterium
Lineage: Bacteria
Also listed under: 1 other name
Description: partial 16S ribosomal RNA
Rfam family: Bacterial small subunit ribosomal RNA
Source: RNAcentral